GACAGAGGGUGCAAACGUUGCUCGGAAUUACUGGGCGUAAAGCGCACGUAGGCGGCUUUGCAAGUUAGAGGUGAAAGCCCGGGGCUCAACUCCGGAAUUGCCUUUAAAACUGCAUCGCUAGAAUUGUGGAGAGGUAAGUGGAAUUCCGAGUGUAGAGGUGAAAUUCGUAGAUAUUCGGAAGAACACCAGUGGCGAAGGCGACUUACUGGACACAUAUUGACGCUGAGGUGCGAAAGCGUGGGGAGCAAACAGG
RNAcentral lists this ribosomal RNA (253 nucleotides) under uncultured bacterium. RNAcentral's name for it is "partial 16S ribosomal RNA". It matches the Rfam family "Bacterial small subunit ribosomal RNA", at positions 524 to 776 of the family's 1533-position model. The record is from RNAcentral.